UGUUCAGAAAUAUUGAUUUUACCUUACCCUUUAAAUAAAUUUGGAUCUUAGUAUACAUUCCAUUGAAAUGUGUCAUUUUCUACAGCUUUGACAUCUAUUGGCAAAAGUUUUGUUUAAUGGAAGUUCAUUGGCUGCGGAUAGAUUAACUGUUGUAGCAUGUGACGUAAUUUUAUUUUCUGCUAGCAUUGCCGGCAUUGCGCGCCAAGUUUGAGAAGUUUGAUUUUCACAUUAAAUGAAUUAUGAAACAAGUGUCUGGUAGAACUUUUAUUUUUUUCUUGAAAAUUAGUGUUAGUAAGGUAGUGAAGCAGUAGUUGGCUGUUUUAGUUACUCAAGACGCUGAGUUAAUUAUAAACUGCCCUUGAUAGGCUGCAUAAAAUUGCUUUAAGUGCCACAGAAAAGAAUACAUCAGGUCUGAAAAGAAUUUUUAGAUGUUCAAAAUGAAUUAAAGACUUGAAAUUAUUUAUAAAUGUUAAAACUAUAUCCUGUGAUGGAAAUUAUACUGGAAGUCCAGAAACUUGUAAAAGUGCUACGGCAUUGUAUAAUGAUUUUCUAGAGAUCUAGUAAGCUGGUGAUUUAAGAAAACAACUAUAUUAAUAUCAAGCACUACAGGAACCAAGCUAUCUGUGAUGUAGCUACAUUGGACCUACAGCAGAAGUGAAUGAUCUGGGGAGUAAUUUCUUAUAAAAGCAGGAGCACAUUUGUUAUCCUAAAUACCUUGACACUACUAUCUACUAUAAUACGCGAUAGCAAAAUUUUACAUUGGACUGGUGAUGCACCCAUUGUGCUUCCAUUAUUGAGCAAUAUCGAGGAACAUUUUCCAAUAGUAUGGAUAACAAUUCCAAUGUUAUCUACAAGGCAUGGACUGUUGGUGAUCUGACUAAGUGCAACAGGCUCUGAAUAUCAUCCCACAAAAUGAUACAUGACACCUGUACGACACAAUGCAUUUCCAUACUUUCAUUUAACAUCGGAGUGAUUAUGUUAGUUAUUAAUGUACCAUCAUUUCACAUAACAUUGAUAAAUUAAAUAUGUUACCCAGAUAAA
Long non-coding RNA from Stegodyphus dumicola, 1041 nucleotides. NCBI's taxonomy places the organism in Eukaryota, Metazoa, Arthropoda, Arachnida, Araneae, Eresidae. The record is from RefSeq and is a predicted model, not a curated record.